Molecule: long non-coding RNA, 393 nt
Filed under: Linum usitatissimum (flax)
Lineage: Eukaryota; Viridiplantae; Streptophyta; Magnoliopsida; Malpighiales; Linaceae
Description: long non-coding RNA (LUSI_LNC005706)
Source: RNAcentral
CUUUCUAUAGAUCAUAACACUCAAGUAAUGCCUCUUAUUUUGAUUGCUUUCUUCACUAUUCUACUUUUAUAGACUACAAUAUACAACUUGCUUCCUUUUCAUUUUCUUUGCUUUUCAUAUUAUUUUUUUUUCUUUCUCAUUUUUUACAUUUUUUGGCUUUUUCGAUAUUGCGGCUUUUUCCAAAUGGGGGUAGUCACAACCUUGGCCGGACUUGGAAGGAAUCAGUCUCUGGCUCACGCCUUAAGCAUGAGAAAGGUUGGGAAGACGGCAGACCUCAAGGGUCGCCACACGUGUUUAGGCUGUAACCAAACUCCAUGACAUUUUUUAUUCUACGAACCUCAUUGAGACUCCUCCCACAUGUUUUAGCUUUGUAAAAAUUUAGGUAGACUCGUU